UAUACGGAGGGUGCAAGCGUUACUCGGAAUCACUGGGCGUAAAGGGCGCGUAGGCGGAUUAUCAAGUCUCUUGUGAAAUCCAACGGCUUAACCGUUGAACUGCUUGGGAAACUGGUAAUCUAGAGUGGGGGAGAGGCAGAUGGAAUUGGUGGUGUAGGGGUAAAAUCCGUAGAUAUCACCAAGAAUACCCAUUGCGAAGGCGAUCUGCUGGAACUUAACUGACGCUAAGGCGCGAAAGCGUGGGGAGCAAACAGGAUUAGAUACCCUGGUAGUCCACGCCCUAAACGAUGUAUGCUAGUUGUUGGGGUGCUAGUCAUCUCAGUAAUGCAGCUAACGCAUUAAGCAUACCGCCUGGGGAGUACGGUCGCAAGAUUAAAACUCAAAGGAAUAGACGGGGACCCGCACAAGCGGUGGAGCAUGUGGUUUAAUUCGAAGAUACGCGAAGAACCUUACCUGGGCUUGAUAUCCUAAGAACCUUAUAGAGAUAUGAGGGUGCUAGCUUGCUAGAACUUAGAGACAGGUGCUGCACGGCUGUCGUCAGCUCGUGUCGUGAGAUGUUGGGUUAAGUCCCGCAACGAGCGCAACCCACGUAUUUAGUUGCUAACACUUCGGGUGAGCACUCUAAAUAGACUGCCUUCGUAAGGAGGAGGAAGGUGUGGACGACGUCAAGUCAUCAUGGCCCUUAUGCCCAGGGCGACACACGUGCUACAAUGGCAUAUACAAUGAGACGCAAUACCGCGAGGUGGAGCAAAUCUAUAAAAUAUGUCCCAGUUCGGAUUGUUCUCUGCAACUCGAGGAG
RNAcentral lists this ribosomal RNA (799 nucleotides) under uncultured Campylobacter sp. Its description in RNAcentral is "bacterial SSU rRNA". It matches the Rfam family "Bacterial small subunit ribosomal RNA", at positions 522 to 1319 of the family's 1533-position model. The record is from RNAcentral. Lineage: Bacteria; Pseudomonadati; Campylobacterota; Epsilonproteobacteria; Campylobacterales; Campylobacteraceae.